Molecule: ribosomal RNA, 497 nt
Filed under: uncultured bacterium
Lineage: Bacteria
Description: partial 16S ribosomal RNA
Rfam family: Bacterial small subunit ribosomal RNA
Source: RNAcentral
GAUGAACGCUGGCGGCGUGCCUAAUACAUGCAAGUCGAGCGAACGGACGAGAAGCUUGCUUCUCUGAUGUUAGCGGCGGACGGGUGAGUAACACGUGGAUAACCUACCUAUAAGACUGGGAUAACUUCGGGAAACCGGAGCUAAUACCGGAUGAUAUUUUGAACCGCAUGGUUCAAAAGUGAAAGACGGUCUUGCUGUCACUUAUAGAUGGAUCCGCGCUGCAUUAGCUAGUUGGUAAGGUAACGGCUUACCAAGGCAACGAUGCAUAGCCGACGGGAGAGGGUGAUCGGCCACACUGGAACUGGGACACGGUCCAGACUCCUACGGGAGGCAGCAGUAGGGAAUCUUCCGCAAUGGGCGAAAGCCUGACGGAGCAACGCCGCGUGAGUGAUGAAGGUCUUCGGAUCGUAAAACUCUGUUAUUAGGGAAGAACAGAUGUGUAAGUAACUGUGCACAUCUUGACGGUACCUAAUCAGAAAGCCACGGCUAACUACGUG